RNAcentral lists this long non-coding RNA (24700 nucleotides) under Citrus x clementina. RNAcentral describes it as "Citrus clementina (C. clementina) long non-coding RNA (CCLE_LNC004337)". Lineage: Eukaryota; Viridiplantae; Streptophyta; Magnoliopsida; Sapindales; Rutaceae. The record is from RNAcentral.
CAGUCUCAGUGAUGCAAUUGCCAUACCCCGAAUUAUUAGUAGUGAAUCUGCCAAAAUCUUGUUGUUUGCUUUUCCAUCAAGUUUCAAGCAGUUAGUAAACUCAAAACAAAUUGCUGCUGACUCCAGAGAUUGAAUAAGGUCAGGAGAGGGUUUCGAUAGCUUUUCUAGUAUGGAUGCAUCUAGUUCUUGCAGACAUGACGGAAUCUCUGGCAAAGAUUGAAGCCGCUUGCAGUUCGUUGCAUCUAGUUCUCGUAGACACAAUGGAAGUUUUGGUAAUGACCGAAGCAUGUUACAAUCCCUCAAGUAAAGACUUUUUAGACACAAUGGAAGUUCUGGUAAUGACUGAAGCAUCUUACAAUCCCUCAAGUGAAGAGAUUUUAGGCGCAAUGGAAGUUCUGGUAAUGACUGAAGCAUCUUACAAUCGCUCAAGUCAAGAGAACGCAGUCGCGACAGUUGCUUGAUGCUUGCAGGUAAACUCUCAAAGUUAUUUUCACGUAGAUCCAAGCUUGUCAGUGAGGAUAAACCUAAUAAUAAUGAUCGAGGCAAUGAUACCAAACCUUUGCAUCUAGAGAACUCAAGAAUUCUAAGUACGUUUGAAUCUGCAACAGAGGAUGGUAGUUGACUAAUAGCUGAUCCAACUGCUGAGAUGGCCUGCAAAGAUUCUAAAUUGCCAAUGUUAUCCGGCAACUUAUCAAGUUUAGAGCAAUCAUCUACGGACAAUGAUUCAAGCCCCGGUAGAUUUUCAAAUGACGAUGGCAGCUCUGUAAUUGCCGUCCCGUCUAAAUUGAUGCGUUUUAAAUGUUCCAUUUUCUCCAAGAUUUCUGGGAAGCGCUCAAGGUUCAAGCAGCCAUUAACAAAAAGAUCAACCAAAGAUCUCAAUUUACAAAACCUAGUUGAAAUCCUCUUCAGCCGUUUGCAAUCCCUCAAAUACAACACUUCAAGAUCAGUUAGGCACUCUAUUGAUGAUGGAACUUCUUCCAUUGCAGACUGGCGUAAGUAUAGCUGUGUAAUUUUCCCAGAAAUCUGUGGAAACUCUAUGAGAUUAACACAAUAGGAGAAAUUAAUAGUUACUGGACAAACAAAAUGAAGAUUGCUUGGAAAAGACCUAAGACUUUUGCAGCCCUCAAAAGACAACGCACUGAGAUACUUGAAAUUCUGGAUAGAUGAGGGAACACAAGCCUUUUCUCCUUCCCAAGGUUGCUCAACUUUACUAAAACGCAAAUUCAGUUCAACAAGGUUCUUUGGCUUGAAAUUUGAUGGCAGUGUCCUUAAUGGAUAUGUGUCCCAAUGAAGAUAUCUCAAUUUUUCAGGAAGAUAAUCUAGGCCAUUUGGAAGCUGCACUUUAGAGUAUGAAAGUUGCUCUUCAAUGCUCAUACUUAGAAGAUUUUCAAUCUCAUACUUAGGUACAUAAAAUUUGAGCAAUCUCAGAUUAGACAUAUUUGUGAAGGCUCCGGGGUCUAAAUUGAUGCCUUUUAUUUUGGACAAAUCCAGAAAUAUGCCUUCAAUUGCAUCGGUCCCCUUAUAAAAAAAAAAAAAAAAAAACAAAGAAUGGGUAAGCCUAAAAUAGAAAAGAAACAUUCGUGAACUUUAUUAACUAAGGGGAUAUUAUCAUUUUCCCGCCGACACAUCAUGUCAGUACCACGGUUUGGUAAAACUAUCAAUUUACCACCAAACAUUUAAACUCAUUCCGUUAAACUGUUAGCAUUUUCCCACCAUUCUGUUAAAACUCAGUUAAUAUGUAACAGAAAUUUCCUAAAAGGUCAAUUUUACCCCUGAAGCAUAAAAGACCAUGUAAUUAACCUUUUAUGAAUUUUGUAAUUAAAUCAUCAUUUGUUGUUCUUCAUUCUUAAAGGACAAAAAUUACCCUUUAUAAAUUUUGUAAAAUUGACCGUGUGGUGUUAGGUACUUCAUAAAUUGAUUUAAUUUUUAAAGAGCAAAUUUAUUUAUUUAAUUUUUUUUUAUAAAAUUAUUAUCAUCAUAUCAAAGAUUAAAUUGCUUCUUUUGCACAUUCUUUUUUUUUCCCUUUCAUAAAUUGAUUUUUAGUAAUAGAAUAAAUUGUCUUUAGCUCGUCAAUUUAAUUAAUAAAUUAAAGCUAAAAGGAACAUUUAAGCUAAAAGGAGUGAUUGGAGGCAGAACUAGGUGGGCCAAUCAGUCCAUUUUAUUAGCAACUGUUGCUUAAAAAAAAUUAUACUCUAAAAUACACUUACUUUUUAAAAAAAAUAUAAUUAUAUUAAAAUAGAACCAGGUGGGCCAAUUCUCAUGGCACUCACUUUGUUAUGACACUCUUCACUAAAUUUGAAGAGAAAUAAAAUUAUACUCUUCCCACUCUUAUUCAACAUUCCAAAUUUGAUAAAAUCUAGAGUUUUCUUUAAAAAUUUAAAAUUUGAAGACUUGUUUUCUUGACACCCUCAGUCAUUAAUUUUACCUAAUUAUGGUUUUUAUGAUUUUGGUUGUUUUGUUCAUAAAAUAAUUUUACUAAAGGAUGUUCUCGUAAUAAUAAAAAUUAUAAAAAAAACAUGGGUGUGCUGGUAUGGUUGGAGAAAUAUGAGUGCAUAACUCCAAACAAAUAAAAGAUAUAUAUAUAUAAACGGAAGAUUCUUACCUUAUUAUGCUUUAGUACCCGGCGGAUUUCCUUAGGAUCCCACAACCUGUUGCGUUUGCCUGGCUCUUUCUCAGAUUCUUGGCGAACAAUUUGUCGCCCCAUUUCUUGCAAUAUAUCAUGCAUUUGCAACAAUUUGUCGCCCCAUUUCUCAGAUAUUGAUAUGAGUGACUUAUCAAUAAGGACAUCCAGUCCAUCCGACUCAGAAUCAUCAAGAAUCCUUGCCACAAAAUCUUUAUCCUCUCCCUCAAAGAAACACGCAAUAUCUAGAAAUAUGCUCUGCACCCUGGGCGUUAAUUCAUCAAAACUAAUCUUUAAUUUCUUAUAAAUAGCAUGAAUAUCAGAUUCACAAAUCCGAUUUAAGUCGUCCAAUACUUUUCCCCAAUGGCUUUUCCCCUUGAGGGAGGAACCCAACACUUUAAGAACUAAUGGAUUGCCAUCAGCAUACUUUACAACUCUCCGUGAGUCAGGUUUGAAAUCUUCAGGACAAUGCUUUUCUUUAAAAGCGAAGUUACAAAAAUGCUCGAAAGCCUCAUGAAAAUCCAUUCCAUUAACCCUAUAUAUUUUCUUCUCCUCCACUCCAAAUUUUUCGAGGACUCCUUUAUCCCUAGUGGUUACAACAAUUCUACUUCCUGGACCAUAUUGAUCAAGCUCUCCAAUCAGACCCUCUAAUUGUCCAACUUCAUUCACAUCAUCGAGUACUAUCAACACCUUCAUACGCCGGACCCUCUCUUUAGUAAAAUGUGGAAUAUUGGCACCAGCUACUUCAAGUUUUUCGCUUAAUAUUGUUGAAAGCAUUUCCUUUUGUAGGUCUUCUAGGCCACCCUCUGUUUCUGAUUUUCUCCUAACAUUUUUUGCAAAGUAUUUACCAUCAAACUCACCAGAGAAUUGAUCGAAAAUAGCUUCGGCAAGGGUGGUUUUGCCGAUACCACCCAUGCCCCAAAUUCCAACAAUUUGGACAGUAUCCGACAAAUCCAUACACAAAAAUGGUUUAAUCUGCUCAAUUCGUGAAUUUAAUCCAACUAGGCCGUUGGAUGAGUCCGUUGAGACUGUUAUUUUUUCCAACUUCUUCAAAACAUCUUCGACAAUUUUGUUUACAAGUUCCGCAUCGUGCCUAAUAUAAAGGUGCAAAGAUGCAAAAACAUUGAGUCAAAUCGGGCCAAGACAGAAACAGAGAUAAGAUGAAUUAGGAAAGAGAGUUACCUGAAUUUCGUGGAUUCGUGGCCAGCAAGACCGGAUGUUUCUCUCAGUGCAUCCCUCCACCUCUGAACCAUUUCUGGUUUAUCUUUGAACUUCUGUUCUAGCUUGUAAAAACCGUCCCCAAAAACUCCGGUUUGAUGCCGCACAUCGGAUGGACUUACUCCAUAGAAAACCGGAAUAUUGAUUUGGCCGUUUGUGUGCUUGCAUUCAAGAAUCUUGACAAGUUCAUUCAGGCACCAUUUUGAAGAAGCGUAGUCCUUUGAGAAAAUGACCACCGAAAUUUUUGAACCUUGGAUUGCGUUCAAAAGGGCAUCUGAAAUCUCAUCUCCUCGCCUGAGCUUUUCAUCAUCCAUAAAUGUUUUGAUUUUCUUUUUGUCAUACAAAUCAUCAUAGAGAUGGCAAGUAAAGAUCCUACGAGUGUCCUCCCCUCUAAAAUUGAGGAAGACUUCAUAAAUGCAAGAAGAAGAAGAAGAAGAAGCAGCCAUGAAGGAAAUUUUAGAAAAUUGGUGACAGAAACAGAGAAUUAAUGUUGAGAGUUGAGAGAGGAGAUGUAAGAAUGAACAUGUGUGAAGAUUCUUGCAAGCACACACUAAAUAAUUGAAUGGCUGGAGCUUUCUUAGUCUCCUGGAAAUUUCCUGGAGCUUUCAUAUACAUGAUUUGUCAAGUCAAGAAACAUAAUCAUGAUAAUGGGGCAGACCAGGAAGAAAAGAAAAUUUGAUUCAACCAAUAAAGGAAGGAAAAGCAAAGAAAGAAAAUUUGAAAGUAGAUUCAGAGAAUUAUAAAAAGCUAAAGGAAAUUGGAAUUUUGUACAAUUUCUCCAGCGAGGAACUUUCACUGUCAUUACCUCACCGUUAGAGUUUGGAUUAAGAUUUGAGGGUGCAGGCAUUUACCUAGAGUUUACCUCCGCACUAAAUUCUUAAGUUUUGAAAAUUAUGAAACCUUUAUAUUGGGAGAUAUUGUAAUCGAAUCAAAACUUAAAAUUUUUAUAAUGUUAAUAUUUAAUCUUUCAAAAAACAAUAACCUCGCCGUUGUAGUUUGGAUUAAGAUUUGAGCAAUUAUUUACCUAAAUUUUACCUCCGUCUGUAAAUUCUUAAGUUUUGAAAAUUAUGAGACCUUUAUAACCGAAUCAAAAUUUUGAAUUUCAAUAUUAUUAUUCUUUAAAAUUUUUUUUGAGAUAACAGAGUGAUUGAUAGUAUAGGAGAACUUGUCUAGGCAAGCACAUGCAUACACAGAAACGUGAUGGAUUCAAAAAGAAAUUAAAGUGAUAAUGCGAAAUCGCUUGGUGGCCUAGUAAAAUUACAACCGAAUUUUUUUUUUUAACAAAAUUCAAGCUCAUAAAUGACAAAAGCUAUUUCAUUUCCCUUUCACACGUCAUUAACUUUUGUAACACGGUGUGUGCAUCGUCAAGUGAGGCAAAAGGGUUUCGAUUAUAGUGGGAAAACAUGAACAAGAAUGCAUAAUGAAUAAUUCCUUCGAUAAAGCGAAAAUUAAAUUACAGAAUAAUCCUAAAAUUUAAACUCUAAUAUCUUAUAAUGUAUUGAUUAAAAAUAAUCCUAAGAUUUCCCAAUUGAAACUUUCAUAAGUAUUUUUAUUGUUUUGGAUAAACAAAUUGCACUAGGAUAAAAAUUUGGCAAAUUCAGAGGAUAAUGGAAAAUAGUUAUGCUUCAAUAGGCCAAAGAUUAGAGAACAAACAAGAAUUAGUUAUUGAUAUACAAAAGAGAAACACUCCAAAAUUUCAAGCAAAAAUAGUUUCAUAUACCAUUUCGAUUUUGGAAGGGGUGAGAGACUUAUUGGUACCUUAUUGAAGGUAAACAUUAUAGAACUUUCAAUGUCAUUACCUCACUGUUCAACGAAGACUUAUUGGUACCUUAUUGAAGGUAAACAUUAUAGAACUUUCAAUGUCAUUACCUCACUGUUCAAUUUUUAUUGAGUCUUGUGUAAGCAUUUACCUAAAUCUUACCUCCGCCUUUAAAUUCAUAAGUUUUGAUUAAUUAUGAGACCUUAUGUUGGGAGAUAUUAUAAUCGAACUAAAACUUAAAAUUUCAAUAUCAUUAUUCUUUAAAAAGAAAUUGAGAUUUCAGAGUAAUAUCACAUAGAAAAACUUGCCCACGGUAAGCCAAAAGUCUAGUCAACCACAUGCAUAAAGCUAACUAGAGCAAGAGGACAGAGAAACGCGUGGGUCCCUAAAAGAAAAGGCAAGCACAUAAAGAACUUUCAAAAUGCCCAAGCAAAUACUGAUAAAAAUCACUGUUUAAGACUAAUAUAUUAUGUGGUUGAAGCUUUCUUUUUAUCAAUCUUCUUUCUACCCAUUAAUUUUCCCACGACUUUCCGGUUUUAUUUCUUGAAUCUCCAUGGAUUAACUUUCAAUAAACCAUAAAAUAAACUAAGGAAUCAUUUUCUCGAACACAGCUAUGAUUUUAAUAAAUGGGCGGACCAUCUAGAAUAGUAUAUAUAAUUCUGUUUAAUUAAUAAUUUGAAAAAACCAUCAAGAGAAAUUCUAAUAUUAUGAGCUUGACACGAAUUCUUCACUAAUUCCAAAACAAGGAGCUGUUUUAUAAGAACUGUGGUUGGAUUAUUAAGUUUUACAAUUUGAAUAUAAAUAAGAAAAUAAAAUCAAUCGCGUCGAUGUUUUCGAUACAUUUCGCUGCUAACUUAAUUAAUUACUUUACUUCAACUUUAUUUCCUGACGGGCACUAUAAGGUGGGUCCAAGAUGAGACCUACAAUAAUCAAUCCUAGAAUUUAGUAUGGUUACUAAAUAGCUUAGUGUUAUUUUGUGUUUGGUGGAAGAGAUUGAAUAUUUAGUUUUAACUUAACCAUUCAACUAAUUAGAAAAUAAAUAAACUUAAAUGAAAUGUUUAGAUAUCAAUUUAAAUAUUAAUAUCGGGGAUAUAAAUUAGUUAUAAUAUAGUUCAUUAUAUAAAAUUGAUUAAAUUAAUAAUUACACAUGAACAUAGAUGUAUAUGCUUUCCAAUUUCCAAAGUGCUCAAAGCACUUUUCUCACCAAACUUUCCUCUGAAUUUCCCGUAGCUGACUCCUUUGUUUGCGUUUUGUGAAAUUUCUAGGAACUUUUUUCUAUUUAGAAUAUUGUACAUUUUUCUUUUCAGCUGAGAUUAAUUUAACUUAUAGAAAAUCUUAUCCUUUUUUUAAUAUUAUUUAAAUAAAAUUUGUCUAUCUUUCAUUUUAUCAGUCUACUUUCUAGUUUCUACCCAUUAAUUAAGACUUUUCGAUUUCUUUUUUUCCUUAGGUUUUCAGUGACCAUCUUUCAAUAAACCACAAAAAUUACUGAGUCAUUUAUUGAACAAUUAGAUGACCAUAUUUCAAAAUAUCAACUAGAAGUUGCCCUGAAAUAUUUAAUUAAUAGUUGAAGAAUUGUGAUUAGUGUGGGCAUCUACAUAAAAAUUAUAUUAAAACACUGCUAAAAGAUAAAAAUAAAAUAAAAUAAAAUAGUACAAACAUACACCCAUAGGUUAAAACAAAGAAAAAACACGAACCAAUACACUAAAAUGUUUUAGCUGUAGUUAGUUUUCAGUUUCAUUACUUAAGUCCCACGUGCAUGUCUCGUGACUGAGGUCAAAAAAUGAUUGUCACAUUAAAGUUCAAAGUACGGAGCGGGGUAAUUAAGGAGUGGAGCUAUUGGCACCCCUCCAUUAUUCUUACAAAACCCCACUUUAAAUCAAAUUAUAAUUAAGGACAAUUGAAAAUUAAACACUUAUAGAUUUCUUUACAACAUGUUGAGUGAUAAAAAAGCACCAGUCGGGCAUGUCCCCAUUUCCUACCCGGGGGCGAAUCUCCUCGGCCGAAUGGUAUGAGUAGACUCCUGGUGAUGUCUUCUAUGUGGAGCACGUAACAAUCGACCAGGAACUAGUACCAACCAGAAACGAGUACUGAUCAGAAACGAGCAUGACUAGAAACGCAUACCGACCAGAGACUUGUGGGUCUCUAAAAGAAAAGGCAAGCACAUAAACGAAAAAGCCAUUACAUUUCUAUUUUAUAUGUCAUUCCUAAUUUUUGUAACAUGGUGUGGCAGCAUAUGCACAAUCAAAUGAGGCAAAAGGGAUUCGACUAUCGUGGCAGAACAUGGACGAGGACGCGUGAUGAAUAAUUCCUUCGAUAAAAUGAAAAACAAACGCAGAGAAAAUAAUUUCUUAUAUGACAAGAAAUUAAAGUAAUGUGAAGGAACAUGAUGAAGAAAUUGCAGACCGAUCAAUUAUCCCCAUGGACUCCUAUAAAUUCAACCAAGAUAACAAUUCCAAUCUUACCAAAUUCUUGAGUUAAAUUUAUUCAAUGCUUUUUUUUUAGAGAAAUUUUUUCCAAUGCUACUUUCCCUUUUUUGGGGAAAUUAGAACUGCGGCAUGUAUAGAAGACAUUGAGGUAUAAAGCAACAUUAAUUUCAUGGGUUAUGCGUUAUACGCAUAAUAUAUUUUCAGUCCAAAUUCAACUAUGAAAAGAGGCUUGAGAACUUAAAAUUAAGCUCAAACUAAACAGACGAAGUAAAUACAUGAUUAUGCAACAUAACAUUAAUUCUCUCAAUUUAUAACUGUUUUUGCCACAUGAAUCUUGCACAGUUAAUCCUAAUUGAAGACUAAAAAAGAACAAUUGGAACAAGGUUUUGGAAUAGAAUGAUAUACAAUCGAUAUGUUCCAUUUCCAGUCGUCAUAACUAAUUAACUGCAGUUUCUAGACUCCUAAUUAUACUAGCCAUAAGAAACUGUUUAGAAAACUGGUGAUCAGAUUAGAUUUUGAAAAGAAAUAAUGUUCAUUUUCCCUUUGCUACCUUUUUUUUUUUUUUUAUACCAAAGAAUUCUAUCAUGAAAAGAAUCAAUUUAAUCACCUUUUCCAGCAGCACAAAUUUUCUUUUAUAAAAUUUGACCACGGAGACAAAGAAGAAUUAUUCAUACCUUCAUCAGUAAGGAAAUACUUUUCGGUAUGGCUAGGGUGAGAAAAGGCUUUCCACAAACACUUGUACUUUGUAUUCCUGUAAAUUUUCUUUAAAGUCAAUAAAAACCAUAAGUUCUUUACAAUAACCAUCUCUUUGAUCAAAAAGUGCCGCAUUCCUUUAGAAUUUAAAACCGGCAAAACCGAAUCAGUGUCUUUGAAGAGACAUAAUGGUCGUAAUUCUUUAAAUGAGUUGGCUAAGGAAAUCCUUAUCCAAGAUUCUUUCACGCCAUGUUCUUUCGUAAACCAAAAUUCAUUUUGGAAUACUCUGAUGAGAAUGUCAAAUAAAACGGCAUUGAAGGAAGUUUUCAAAGGCAGAAUCUGCACUUGUCAAAGGGAUGAUAUGCACUUGUCAAAGACACGACCCGCGUCGAACGAAUCAACACAUUUCCUUUCGUAUUCGCAUAUGUAAUCUUUGAAAAAAUGUAACUUCUGCAUCUAUAAAUAACGCUCAGUGUAUAAUGUUUUAUUCAAGAAAAGAAAACAAGUUUCUUCAUACUCCUCGUCCGAACAUACAGGGACAGUCUCUCAUAACUUCAGCCGAAUACUUAUGAUGAUGAUCAUUUGUGAUUUCAUCAGGCAUAGGGUUGAUGGUGAAAAAUUUUGUAUGUGUGAAGAAUUGAGCUGUGGAUAUAAGGGACUUAAGUGUAAUCGAAAGAGAGUUAUUAGGCCAUAGUGCAGAUUGCAUUUAGUUUAUGGGUCGAUAUGCGAAAUCUGUUAUGGUCGUUACUAUUGUUUCUGGAAAUUUUCUAGAAACCUCAGCAUAAAAGGGGCUUUUGCAUAGCCUCUGGUGUGCGUGUGAUUUCUCUUUCGUUUCCUCAUCAAAUUCUGUAAUUCUUGCUUUGAUAAAAAGCUUGUAAUCUCUUCUGUAAUGUGUGAUCAGUGCGUAAUCAUUUUGAGCAAUAAAAGCUUGUGGGUUUUUCCUUCAAACAGUGUCGUUUUGGUCAAUUUGUUAGUUUGAUCUGUUGGUGGAAUUUUCUUUGGUUAUUUGUUCUCAAAUUUCAACCGUAUAUAAAGUUUGAACUCUAAUGGCUUAUAAUGUAUUGAUUAAGAAUAAUCCUAAGAGUUCCCGAUUGAAAUUUUUAAUGACUAUUUUUAUUGUUUUGGAUAUACAAAUUGCAUUAAGAAAAAAUAUUGUCAAAUUCAGAGGAUAACGGGAAAUAAUUAUGCUUCAAAAGGCCAGAGAUUAGAGAACAAAGAAGCAUUCAUUACUGAUAUACAAAAGAGAAACACUCCAAAUUUGCAAGCAAACUAGUUUCAUAUACUAUUUGGAUUUUGGAAGGGGUGAAGUUUUGAACUUCAGUUGUUCCUCUAAAAUCAAAAGCAGCAAUUAAGCGUUCUCAAUUAGAAAUAGCAAAGAAGACUUAUUGGUACCUUACUGAAGCUAACAUUAUGGCACGGUUGUUCAUAUGUAAUGGUUGCUCUGUUAUGCUAGCUUCUCUGUUUUUGCUUACAGUUUUGAACAUAAAUUCUUGCUCAAAUAACCCAUAAUUAAAUAACACUAAUAUGGCUCAUGAAAUCCUAUAAUAGCUAAUUACGCAACUUUCUCCUCCUCCUCAAUUAUGUCUUCCCCUGCUCGUACACUAAAUUCAAAAUUCAAUGCCCCGAAAAACAACACAAGAAAUCUUUGAGUUAGUUCGUGACCAGUUUAUAUAUAGUAGCAAUUGAAAAAAGAAAAAGAAGAAAAGAGUUAAUUAUUAUUCAUACCUUCACUUAUUAGGAAGUUUGUUCUGCUAUUGGGUGAGAUCAAGCUCUCAGCAUAUACUUCCGCAUAAUACUUUCUAACAUUUUCUUGAAAGACCAUCAAUCAUAAAAUCUUCAUACUUUUUUCCAUCCUUUGGAUCAAUAAGUACAAAUUUCUCAUCUAAAACAGAAAAAAUAAAAUCGCUGUCCUUCAUGGAAUAUCAUGGCUGCAAUGCCUGAACUGAAUUAGCUAAUGAAAUUUGAGUCCAGGAUUCUCUCAGCCCAUAUUCUUUCAUAAUCCAAAAUUCUUUUCUUUCUCGACAUGGAAGAUAGUCUUCUUUUCUUUCUCGACAUAUGUCUCUGUACUUUUCUCUCUCUACUGAUCCACACUUUUUCAUACUUCUAACUAUCAUUUUGUUUUUUUUUUUUUUGUUGAGUUGUGAUUUAUUCAAUUAUUUUUUAUUUUUAAUGACAAUUAUUUAAUAUUUAGUUUGUUUUGAUAUUGAUUAGUGAUUGAAAGUGUAUUUUAGAAGACUUCCGGUCUCUUGAAAAAAGGAAAAAUGGAGAAGAAGAAGAAGUGUUCUUGAUUUUUUUGUAGGCAUUAAAGUUAAACGGUUCGAAAUGAUAUUUUGUUUUAAUUUCACUCAUUAAUCUCAUUCAGGAUAAAAUUAUAAAUGCAAAUAAAUGGGGUUUCAUAAGUAUAUUUAAUAGUGUUAAAAGGUCUACUCACUAAAUAAACAUGUUUUACCCAAACCAAUCCGAUUAAUAAGCUAUUGGGUUGGGUUGAUCAGGUUAAAAAUUAAAUAAAUAAAAAAGGCAUAAAAACUAUAUUUUACUUGAAAAUAAAAAAGAAUUUCUAAUAGUUAGUUCUAAUGUCCCAUAUCCAAAACAUGCAUAUUAAAUAAAUAUUAUAAGUUAGAGGUAAAAUAUCCAAGAAACAAUGUAUGAAUGAAAUACCAUAUUUUUGUUGAGAAUUAAGAGUGUGAGUUUAAUUUUGAUAUUGGAGUCUAAAGCAAUAGAUAGUACAAUGAAAUCAUGAAUGCCACAUUUAAAUAAUCUCUUUUAUAAAAUAAUAAAAAGAAGUUAAAAAUUAAGUUAGCCAUUUAGGCGUUUAGGGUUUAGCAGUUAAGGAUGAACAUAUUAUUAUUAUUGUUGUUGUUGUUGUUAUUAUUAUUAUUAUAAUAAUUAUUUACAUAUUAAUUAAUCCAACUCAACCCAUUUGUUAACAAAUUUGAAAAAAAAUGACUCAAUUAAUCCACAAUAAUCCAUUCAACUUGUCUAAAUUGGAUUAGGUUGAAUUUGAUUUGCCACCCCAAUUUGAUUUGCCACCCCUAUUUUGAGCAACAAACCUCAAUGUGAUUCCAUGAGCUCUUUGAUUGUUUAUAAAAUUGAUUUAGAGUACAUAAUGGAGUGUAUCGACAAUGAAAGUGCAAAACAAAUAUUUGUGUACAUUAAAAUCUGCAAAGCAAUGAAUUAUAUGUACGAACGAGUGCAAACACAUUUUUCAAUAAGAAGUUAAAAGAUAUUUAUGCAUGAAAAAGCCUGCGUUUGUAGUAUUCUAAAUUUUAAAAAUAAAAUUUACAUUUAGAUCCCUAAAAUUUACGUAUAAGUACAAAAGUUUCAAAUAUUGUCUAUUAUUUUUUUAACAUGCCUAUUCCUUGUGGAUAAUUCUAUCUCAUCGCUGAUGUUGUUUCUUGCUUACAAUUUGUAUAGCGUCUCAAAAUAGACAAUAGGGGGAUUUUGAAUUUUUUAAGUCUCAAUAGUCUCUAAUCUUGUGAGAAAGAUUUUCUUUCAAUAAUUUGGAGGUAAACAUAAGAUAACUUUUUAGAUUAAAGCCUAACUCUGCUGGUUAUGGUGGUAUCCUUUUCAAGACUUGAGUCUUUAGAUUUGAGUUUUAUGGAGUGUGCAUGCGUAUUUAAUUAAUAGUUUUUUAAAAACAAUACAUCAAAUAUUAAUAUCCAUGACAUAAUUUAGUUCUUAAUUUUUUUAAAAUACAUCAAAAACAUAAUUUUUAUAACAACUUAUAGGCAUGAAAAAUUUCAAGAUAUAACUAUCAGUCAAAAUGAGUGAAAGAAAUAACGGUGUCAAUUUUAAUUUCUUGACUAAAUUAAUUAGUGCAUGAGCCCUGAAUACGACGCAAGAGUUUGAUGGGCUAACUUGGCACAAGAACCUGAAUAAAUAAUUGAUUGAAGAAAUAAUUCAACGAAAAAUAUAAUUGAUAAAAAUUCAGUAUUGAAAUGAGUUUUUUACGAAACACUGAAUUAAUGAUUAUUAAGCAAGAAUAAUAAAAAAUAAAAUAAAAAAUAAAUAUUAACCAUUGAUAAGCUUCAACAAGAACUUAACACAACCCUCAGUCCUAAUUCAAAUUAUAAAUGUCAUUCAUAUAUUCAUUAUAAAUCAAUAAGAAAGGUUAUAAAUGUUUAGAAAUUCUAGAGGGAAGGAAGCUAUCGCCGGGCAAUCAACAACUAAAUUUGAUGUAAUUGUGGCACGAGAUGGAAUAUGGAAACUACACCAUAAUUUCAAAUGCCGCCAUAGACAUUGACUUAUCUACAAUAACAAUGAUCUAAUUAAAAUAAAAAUAGAGUUUAUGGGCAUUUAUUAAAAUAAAAAUAGGAGUGAAGUAAAAACAUUUAGAUUUUAAUAUAUGUACGGAAAAAUUUAUCUUUAAAAAUACUUUCUUAAUGUGUGUGUGCAUAUUGAAAUACUCAAACCAAUUUUGGUCAUAUAUAAUUAAACAAAAUUUAAAAUAUGAAAAAUAUAAUGUAGUUAUAGUGGAUAAGCAAUAAGUGAGCACAAUAUAAUUAAUCAAAUAUUAUGCUAUCAAAAGUUAAUUUUAGAAAUUCCAAAUCCAAUAGCUAACACAAUUCUUUAAAGAAAUAAUAUGGGGCAUUGGGCAAGAGUAAUGAAUGCUUAGUGGGUGCAUUUGAUUGAUAGAUAUAUAAAGGGCCGAAACUUGAGAUUAUAUUACUUUUACAAAUUUUAAUCCAAUCACAUAUUUACUGAAAACAAAAUGAGUUUGGAUAGUUUAUUUAGAACCCACAUUUUAAUAAGGCUUCAUUUGAUGUAGUUUUUCAAACAUUGAUUAUUUGAGUAAAGUUUCUUUAAUAGAGUUUUUAUCAAACAAAUUUUAUUUAUUUGGUUGUCGAUAAGAGUUUUCAUUAAAAAUUAUAAAAUUAUUUAAAUAAACAUGUUUCUUAAAAUUACAUUAUAAAAAUAAUUAAAUAAAGUUAUAAAAGUAAAAUAUAUUUUAGAUAUUUUAAUAUUUAAGAAAAAAUUUUCAACCUUUACUUUCGAAAGUUUAAAUCUUUAACUUUUAGUUGUAGAGACAAAAUAUCUUAUUUAAUCUUUAAAAAUUAUGCUAAAAACAAUCAAAUAACUACAAUGGUGGGAUAGCUGGGCUGGCUGGCCAGCUGUGUGCGCAUUGUAUAUGAUUGUUUUUCACUUUUUUAAUAUUUUCUUGUGCAUUAGUUCAUAUUAGAUUAGUGAGUUUGUGUGUGUGUUGUGUGUUUGCAGUUGAUUUGGUUAAGAUAUUUAGGUUAUAAUAAUUUUUUUUAAUAAAAAUUUGUUUUAUUUCGAAAUGUCAACAAUGCCCACAACUACCCAAAUGGCAACUAAGCGGAGUAAAAACGUAGAUGGUUUUUUUACAAAUAAAUAGAUUCUCAGCAUCUAUUUACAAUAAACCCAAACCUCGGGGAAGAUUUUUAAAAAUUACCCUAAAAUUAAAUAAGCAUUUAUUAAUAAUCACUUUGAUAUACUUAUCUAAUGACCAUAAGUGUUUAUUUAAUCUAAUAAGUUCUUAUUUAAUCUUAUGAGCUCUUUUUAAUUUUUUUUGUUGUUUGUUUUUUAGUAGAGUAUUUGAAAAUUAAAUAAAGUAUUUUGUCUCUACUAGAAAAAACUCAAAUUUUAGAUUUUUGUGAGUAAAUGUUUAAAUUUUUUGAAAAAUAUUAAAAUAUCUAAGAUAUCUUUUCUUUAUUUCAUAAUCUUAUUUCAUUUCUUCAUAACAUAACUUUAAAUAACUUACCUAUUAAAAUAAUUUCACAAUUUCUAAUAAAAACUCUAAUUGACAAUUAAGUAACAACUUUUUUUUUUGUAAAAACUCUAUUUAUAAAAAAUCUAAUAAAACUUUUAUUUAAAUAAAUUAUAUUUGAAAAGGUGUACUAAACCUACCUAACAUAAAAACAAAAAUUUUUACAUCCAGACAAUUAAGCUUAAAACAAUUUCAAAUGAAUUUUAGACUAAUCAAAGUACAAUACGUACCAAGUUUGGUAACUUAUUGACAUCUUCUCAUAUAACCUUCGAUCAAGUCGAUUCUCACUUGACGACUAUACUCGCAUGCAUCCGAUCACAAAUCUCACUCCAAUUGUCGUCUUUCUUCGCCGUUUUAGCGCAUCCUUCUUGAAUUUCCCGCAUUUCGUUCCCUCCUGUUACAAGUCUCCGGUCAGGUCAGUUCUCUUGACGAUUAAUUCGGUAAAUCUUGAAUCUCUUCUCUAUCCCUCUCGUUUUCUCGCGUCGUUUCACUUCAAUUUCUCGUGUCUCCUUUCAGUUUAAGUGAUUGAAUCAAUUCUAUCGCAGUCGUAAGAGAAAUUAAGUAAUGCUCUUGGAUUUAAAAUUUUUUUGCUUUCGACUUUAGAUCUCGAAAGUCAAACUCUGCUACGAAUCCAUAGAUUCUCAAUGUUCAUAAUCUUAUUUGUGUUUGACCAGGUAACCGGAUCGUGAAAUUCGUCGUUUUGUAUCAAUUCAAGCUUUCGCGAGCUCAUGGAAUCACCUGGUGAGUUGUGGUGAAACGUUAUCGUUUCAAUUUUCGCUUAAUUCUUUAUUGCAUAUUUUUUUCUCUAAUAUUUCAGUUUAAUUUAGAAAAGAAAGAGGACCCAAAAAGAGAGAGAGAGAGACAGACUCUACCAUACUCAAUUCCUUGCUCAUUCUGAUUUGGCCUGAAUGUUGGCAUUGACUAUUAUUUGUUUUCAUAUCGACUUAAUUCUCAUUUAGACAGUCUUUACUAACGGUCAAUAAUAGUUUAAGGAAAAUGAUAAUAGGGAUUCUGCAAUAAUCUUUCUGCAUUGUUCAAGUUAGUAGACAAUGAAUAGGAUGUUUAUGUUUACCUCAUUUUGAACCCUGAGGGCUUUGUUGAGUAGUUGAUUCAACAUAUCCAGCAACAGUUGAUGUGAGAACAGGAUGCCACUUAGAUAGGCUUAAACUGAUUUUGGAGGUUUGUAUUGGUUCUAUUGUACGUCUUGCUUACAAAUUUUUUAUUUUUUAUUUUUAAUUUUGUAUAAUAUGCUCUUUGUUGGUAAAUCUCAUUUGACUUAGAAGAGAUAGUUUUAUCCCAACAGUGGGAUAAAUCAUUGAGAUGCAUGGCAGUGUGAAUAUAGUAGACAAAAUCAUUGAGACACAUGGUGGUGUGAACAUAGUAAACUUUGUCAAACACAGCUAAGAUAAACAAAUUGUUUCAUUAGCCAUUAUCUUAUCUGCUGUGAUGAUUCAAAUUAAUGCUGUUUGGUAGGUUGCAAAAAACAAAAUGAGCUGACUGUUCGUAUUAUUUAGUCAGAUCUAUAGUAAUAAGUUGAAGUUCAUUGUCACAUGGGUUGGGAGUAGCGUGGGCUGUGAGUAGUAGAAUGGAUUUAUGGAGUUGAUACAAGUGCCCACAAUCUAUCAUGUCAUUCUAGGAUUAAAUGGAUUGCACAUUACUGUAAAGAUGGAGGUUAAAUUUAUAUAAUUCGGAUUGAUUGUAAAAUGGGACGCAGAGAUGAGUUAGAAAAAGAAUGACCUGUGUCCUUUUUGAGCUGUUUCUAAAUGUCCCUGGUGUGCUUCAUGCUUAACACGUGCCUUUCCAAAUAAUUUUGCUUAACCUGUGCUUGUCUGCUUCUUGUGCUAUUCUGUGCCUGGUCCUGAGCUGUGUUGGUAGAUUGACAUCCAGCUUGAACUUUUAGGUAUAUCUUUUGUACAUAAAUUCUGAAUACCCAUGGACUUAGCGUGAUAAAGUCAAGGAUCCAUUUAGCUGAGUCCUUCAAGUUUUGUUAGUAUGUCUUCGGAUUAUAAAUAUGUGACAAAAAUGAGGUGUAGAAUACAUUUAAAAAGAAAAGGAUAAAAAAAACAAAAGAAAUGAAAAGAGGUGUUUAGAAGUAAUAGUUAAACUAGAUACACUCCCACUAAUUUACAAUGCACACGACAUACAACUUCUAGUAAUCCUAGGACUUUGUUGACAGGGUGCUUCUAUUCCUCGUUGUGGAAAUGGGACAAACCUUUUGAUACCUUUACCAGGAUCAGUUAGUGCUGAGGAUAUGGCUAUUACUGGAGCUGGUGCACGACUUCAUGAUCAAGAUGCACCAACCCUUCCACUGUUGUAUGAUUUUGAAGAAUUAGAGGGAGAAUUGGAUUUUCUUACUCGUUUUGUGGCAGUUACCUUUUAUCCUGCUAUUUCUGGAACAAGCUCCAUGACUCUUGGUGAGGUAGAAAAUAUUUUCAUAAAAUGUUAAUUAAUGUGUCUACGCACUUUAUUCUUAAAUUAGUAUUUUAGACCAUGAGCUUUGUGGAGUGGGUUUGCUGUAACUGCUGCUGGUGACAACAUAAUUUUAAUAUUAUUACAGAUAGAGAUUCUUGGAGUUUCUCUUCCAUGGAGGGGGGUAUUCAAUAAUGAAGGCCCUGGUGCUAGAUUAAUUGAGCUUGGCAAAAAGUUUCAGAAGGAAACCGAUCCAUUUUUGUCAAAUUCAGUUACAAAUACAGUUCCGUUUUCCAAUGAAAAUGUGUCAACAUCAAUGCAAACAGAAGCUGCUUCCAAUCCUUGGGUUGACCUGUUGUCUGGAGGGGACACAUUUUCUGAUCCUCUUUCAGAGCCGUUUUCUAACCCUCUUUCUGAGCCGUUCUCUGAUCCUCUUUCUGAGCUGUUCUCUGAUCCUCUUUCUGAGCCAGUGACAAGAAAUGUUGCAUCUGGAGGGGCUGAUUUGCUUGAUUUCUUGGACCAGCCUAUAGUUGAAGAUCAUGGUGUGGAAACUUAUAAAAGAUCUUCAACACAGGAUGGCUGUUCUCUAGCUAGUGGUGCCCAGCAGUACAUAAGCUGUCUAAAAUCCCUUGCAGGGCCACGCGAGGAAUAGUGCUGCUCUCUUGUGUUUUUUGCAGCUCUACAUCUUAGCAACUUCAUCUUUUUAAAGGAGUAAAUUCUAGAAGUUCAACAAAUUUUGCUCUGUUAAAUGUAUAACUUAUUAAUCAGUGUCCUGUUAUUAUGGUUUGACACUACUGACAUAUUGUGUUGGUAUUUAUUUGUACUUCCCUUGGUUGAAUUAUUUGCUGUCUCCAUGCCAUUCGAUAUGGUGCUACUUGGUUUUUGAUCAUCCAUGACGCUAUAUAUAUGUAAAGGAUGAAUUGAUUGUUUUGGCUUGUAUUCUCACAUUUUAUGAUUGAUCGAUGGAAAGGUCUUCAUGUAUUAAAUUCAACCUCACAAGCGUAAGAUUGACAGAUUCUGGGCAAAUUUUCAGGAAAAGAAACUAGACUUCAUGGAAGCAAUGAAGCUUGAAAUUGAACGUCUGCAGCUGAAUCUUUCUGCAGCUGAAAGGGAUAGAGCUUUAUUGUCAAUUGGAACUGAUCCUGCCUCUAUAAAUCCAAAUGUAUUGCUUGAUGAAUCUUACAUGGGAAGACUGUGUCGAGUAGCAACCACUCUUGCAUUACUUGGCCAAACUUCCCUAGAAGACAAAAUUGUUGGUGCAAUUGGCCUUGAGAAUAGUGAUGAUAGUGUUUUAGACUUCUGGAAUAUUACUAGAAUCGGAGAGAGUUGUUCUGGUGGCUGGUGGCGGGUGCAAGGUUCGUGCAGAAACUAAGGUGCCUGCUCUUGCUUCCUCAACUGCAACAUCUGUUGGAGCUUCACAAUCCCCUUUGUUGUGUUCUCAAUGUGAAAGAAAAGUUUGCAAAGUUUGUUGUGCAGGAAGAGGAGCUCUACUGUUUUCAAAUUAUAAAUCAAGGGAUGUGACCAACUACAAUGGCUUCUCAAGUCAGAGUGGAUCAAGCCAUGGAAGCCAAGUUGAUGUAUCUACCAGUCGUUCACUAACACUGGAUGGCGUUAUCUGUAAACACUGCUGCCAUGCGAUUGUGCUUGAUGCAUUGAUGUUGGACUAUGUUAGGGUCUUGAUUAGGUUGCGAAGAAGUUCCCGUGCAGACAACGCAGCAUACAAUGCUUUGAAUGAGGUUGUUGGAUCCUGCUUAAAGGAUAGUCUUUCUGAAAGGAUUCAGUCUUCCGAUAACGUGCAAGCUGCUGAAGUCCUUCACCAGUUAUGUGGUGGACAGGAAUCUCUUGCUGAAUUUCCAUUUGUUAGCGUUUUGCACUCGGUAUGUUCUUGGUUUGUAUUCAGUUCUCAUCAUGUUAUGUUUUCCUUUUAAAUUUCUUUUCUUGAUUAAAAUUUUUAGAAAUAUGUUUUAGUAUUUGUUCUUAUGAUAUAUGCCCAGAACAUUCAUCCCACUUAUCCAUGAGAAUCCUUGUCUGGUUUGAUUUUCAAUUGAGACAUUUUUGGGAACCCUGAGCAGGUUCCAUAUGCUAAUAAUCUUUGAGGUAAGGUGUUGUAGGAUGCCUUGAGAAGCUAAAAACCUAUUACAAGGAAAAGCUCUUGCAUUGUUUUGUGCAAUCUGUGUGCUAGCAAGUCAUGUCUCUAAUAAUUUCAUAGUUCGCUUGAUUGGAAUUUUUUAUCUUGAUAUGGAUUGUUUAUUCUAGAUUCCUUGGUGCCACUGUAGGUUGAAACAGCAAAAGAUUCAGCACCGAUUUUGUCACUGCUUGCUCCAUUAAAUUCUGGAUCAAGGCACUCAUAUUGGAGAGCUCCACCUAGUACUACUUCUGUUGAAUUUGUUAUUGUUCUCGGUUCUGUUUCUGAUGUCAGUGGGGUUAUCUUGCUUGUUAGUCCUUGUGGCUAUUCUGUGGCUGACACUCCGAUGGUAAGUGCCAUAUUUAUUCCCUUAUUUCCUUGUUGUUCAAUAAAUUUGGUGAUAAGCCAAGUGGCCUUAAUAAUGAAGCCCAGUACCAGGGGUGGUGGGUAAUCGAUAUUCAACUUGUGAAUAUUCCUAAGCAAACACUGAAUCAACAUAUACCUCGGCAAAAGUUCUCCAUGCUAUUAUAACAAAAGUCAUAUUUUGAAAUGAUUAAAAGAGUCCCUGUGUAGUGCCAUUUCCAAAGAAAUUGCAGCUGGGGGUUUAGUUUCAUGUAGGUUAGUUUCCGAUAAUAAACUUUCCAUUUCAUUAAUUGCUGAUGAAAUAACCAAGUAAGAACAGUUUCGUUGCUCGUCAUUUAUGUAUAUUUUGGUAAACUGUAAUUUUAAAUUCUCAACGAUCUUCCCUUUGUAGGUAAGAAGAUGGUCCACUCACUUGAUAUUUAUGAUUGUAGAUCAGGUUUCUAUUGGUUUGCCUUUAUCAUUCGGAACCCAAGUUUGAUAUUAACAGAGAUCACGUCAAUAAUAUCCUAUUUGGGUAGAUGUGGGUGAGGAUUUAAAAUCAAAUUUGAAAUUGAGGGGAAAGAAGAGAAAAGGAACCACAAUAAUUAAACAAAAUAUUAGGAACUAUUCUGAUGAGUUUUAAUCUCGAGAGGAACAAUUUUCAAAUGCAAAUUUAACUGCUAGAGAAAUUGUAGCUUUUUGUCAUUAGUUAAGAGGAAAGAGAAUAAGAACUAUCCGGCCCUUUCCUUCAUGAAUGUGUGUUGAGGUUGCUGUAUUAUUUAGUCAGUAUUUGUAAUUUUCUUCCCUGCAGUGCUCUCUGCCUCCUGAAUUUGCUACUGAGUCCAUAUUUUUCUUUGAGCUGUUGCUUCCUAUUGCUGUUACAGGUACAAAUCUGGGCAAGCAAUAAGAUACACCGGGAGGAAAGGUCAUCAAUGGGAAAAUGGGAUGUCCAAUCCCUCAUCACAUCUUCUUCAGAUUUGUAUGGUCCAGAAAAGUCCGCUAGUGUUGAAAACUUACCUAGGCAUGUAAAAUUUACUUUUAAGAAUCCUGUUAGGUGCCUCAUUGUUCGGAUCACAUUACGUCUUCAGAGACCUGGUUCGGCUUCAGUUAAUUUCGGGAAGGACUUCAGUCUUUUGUCUCUUGAUGAAGAUGAAAACCCCUUUGCACAAGUAGACAGACGUGCUUCAUUUGGAGGAGCAGUUGAAAAUGAACCAUGUAUUCAUGCCAAAAGAAUUCUUGUAGUCGGAAGCCCAGUAAAAAGGGAGGGGCUUACCUCAUCACAGAGCUCUGAGCAGCUAAGUAUUAGAAACUGGUUGGAUAGAGCUCCACAAAUGAGUAGAUUCAAGGUAUUAGUUGCUUUCACUCUUUGUUCAUUCAUAAUUCCAGCUUUCUGCUUCACUGAUAAACCUCUUUUUUCUCUUAAGGUCCCAAUUGAGGCCGAGAGAUUGAUGGACUACGAUCUCGUCUUGGAACAGUAUUUACCUCCAGCGUCACCUUUGCUUGCCGGAUUCCGUCUAGACGCUUUCAGUGCAAUAAAACCUAGGGUUACCCAUUCACCUUCCUCAGAUUCAGAUAUCUGGGACAAAUCAGUAACAUUUUUAGACGACAGGUACAUCUCUCAAGCUGUGUUGUAUUUACAAGUAUCCGCACUCCAGGAACCACAUAACAUGGUAACUAUUGCGGAAUAUCGACUGCCGGAGGCUAGAGCCGGAACACCAAUGUACUUUGAUUUCCCACGACCGAUACAGUCCCGACGAGUUUCAUUCAAGCUUCUUGGAGAUGUUACAGCAUUUGCAGAUGAACCUUCAGAACAAGAUGAUUCAGGAUUGAGAGCUCCGCUUGUGGCUACAGGUUUGUCUUUGUCAAACAGAAUCAAGUUAUAUUAUUAUUGUGAUCCUUAUGAGCUUGGAAAAUGGGCAAGCCUUUCUGGAGUUUGAUCGUUAUUUAUAUGUCAGAGAAAGAGUUUUGGGUUUGAUUUUGAUUUGUAAUUUUUGUCAGUUUAUUGAAAUUUUUUGUUGUAUAAAAGCAGAAUGUAAAGGUAUAAAAAUUCAUUGAUGCUGCAAUGUCUGUGCUUUUGAGAAAGAAAGAAUUCAAUGUGUUUUCUAUGCAUUGGAUUUUCCCACUGCUUGUAAACUUGGGCUGUCGAAUGCUCUGUGAACCUUAAGGGCUAUAAAGUAAUUUUCAAGACUGAAGGAUUUAUUAAUCGAGUUCAAAAGAUUGCAAGUUGGUGAGCGUUUGCAUUUUAAAAAUCAAUUGUUAUUCUCUCAAUAAUCUAUCUAUUCUGCCGACCCGCCAAGCGCAGAAACCCUUAGUUCCGACGGACGUGUAACACUUCUAGAAAUUAGCCUUUUCUUCUAUAUGAACUGUGAAGGUUGAUCUCUCCUCGUGAAGUGAAGGUGGUUUUCCAAUUACAUACGUCGGGGGUCUUAUGAUAUCUAAUGUGUGAAAUUUCUCUCAUUUUACCAUAAAGAAAAGUUCUGUAAUGAUCUAAAGUUGGGAGUCUUAAAUUAUCUUAAAUUUAUAUUUAGAGUGGAGUUAUUGGCACCCCUACAUUAUUCUUACAAAACUCACUUUAAAUAAAAUUAUAAUUAAAGACAAUUGAAAAUUAAACAUUUAUAGAUUUUUUUUACAGCAAAUUACUUAAGUCAUAAUCAAUCUUUUUUUAAAAAAAAAUUUAUAUGUUGCUUCCUAUCUAAUUAAAAUAAAUUAUAAAAAUUUAGAAUAAUCUAUUGUUCUCUUUUGAUUUCUUAUUGAUUAAAUAUUUUUAUACUCAAAAUUACUUUGAAAUUAUAAUUUGAAAUAUGUGUUAUAUACAGUAGUUCGAUUUACCAAACCACAAAGGGCCACAAAGGGAGCCAAUGUAGUUUUGCCAAAAUCACGUUCUGUAGCAUAAUAACAGAUAUUAUUAUUGUAUAAUAGAUGGGUUUAGAAAAAUUGAAGAGUACGUGUCAGGUUUGAUUUUCAUGUGAUUUGGUUAGUGACGACGAAAACGACGACGUCGUAGUUGAAAAGCGUUUGAAUUAAUGUUGCGUAAAAAAAAAAAAAAGUUGUUCCACUGAUUAAGUCAACAUUACUGAUGUCUUAUCACCCUCGGCCAACUUAACAAUUGGUGUCCUUUGGACAAUUAAAUAUGAUUUAUUAAAAAAAAAUGAAACAAUUAAAUAUUAAAAAUUAGGUCCAAUAAUAAUAAUACUAAUAAUUAAGAAGAUCUAAUUACAUAUCAAAAUGACUCAAACAAAUUAAUUAAUUUUAUAUUAGCUAGCCAAGUAGGUUGUCCAUCCCACUCAGACAUGCAUGAAAGCUAAAUUCAUCAAAUGAAUUACUUAAGGAGUAUUUGAUAAUUUUGAAAUUAUCAAAAGGUGUUAUACUAUUAAAUAUUUUUAUACUUAAAAUUGCUUUGAAAUUAGAAUUUCAAAUUAAAAUAGCAGUAGCAAAAUCGUAGUGCACAUUCAAUUAACCAACUAAUAGUCUAAGAAGCAAAAGAGAGGAUUACAAGUUCACAACACCAUUAAUUCUCCUACGAAAACAUCAAUGUACAGAUAUAAACAAUCCGAAUUGGAAGCGAUUGGGAAAAACCCUUCAAUGGAUUGCUUUCCUUCCCAAUGCUAUAUACUGUGCAAACCAAGAAAAUGUUUUCAAUUUAGUAUAUUUUCAAAAUGCUUAUUUUCUCAGAAUUAAAAAAGUUAAAACAUGUAAUCUUCAGAAGCAUAUAAUAAAAGAACACUUCCACAAAUUACUACAAUUUCAUGCAGUAGAGAUUGAAGAAUUGAAUUCCACUUAUAGAAUGAAUUUUUUAAUAAUGAAAACAACAACAGAGGAUUAACUGAUGCUUUGACUUAUUUGCAGGUUGCAAUGAAUUAGUAACUGCAGCUAAGUUAAAUAAAAUAAGGUAUUUUCAAAAGCAAAAUGGAAUACAUAGAUAAAACAUCAUCUUAAACAAAUCACAAUCUAGAAUUAGAGCAUUUUCGACAUACCUAAGGAACAAGAAUACGUGAAAACGGGUGAUUCAUUUAUUAAGGAGUGUUGAUUUGGUCGUCUCUGCAAAUUCUUUAGGGACUCGGUUCCAAUUGCUCUUCAUCAAAACUGUAAUAUAAUUCCCCUUCAUCAGAACUCGAAUCGAUGCAAUAUAAUUCCCCUUCAUCAGAACUCGAAUCAAAUUCACUUGCAGCAGUUCCACUCGCGCUUGGCAAAUCAUCCAAUUUCCAAACUUCGGUAGCAAAAUUGAGAGUAAAAGUGUUGGCUUUGAUCUCGCUGGGAUUUGCAUAUACUGGACAUACUCCGCAACGUUUUAUCUUCUGACCCUUUUGGACCUUUAUUAUGUUUCGGUAACACUUAUUGAAGAACUUAAGUGAGACAGUUGUAUGAUGGUAAACAUCGGGAAAGCCAACAUUCAAGCAAGGCUUAAAACCAAGUAUGACAUGAUCUGAAUCAUGGGGGUCUUGAAUUAAGCCCGAUUCGUAACCCAGAUCAACAUGUUUGGCUUCAGAGAGAGUCUUUAUUUCUAAGUCGGAUCGACAGCCGACGCUAAAAAAACGAGAACGAUCAGAAUAAAGUUGCUUAAAAUCAAGAACAGCACAAAAAGCAAACCCGAUUAAGUUUCUGCAAAAAGAGUGCGGUGGCAGUUGAAUACGUAUCGAAGAUCCUGAACUUUGAUUGCUGAACCAGUCAGGAAUUUCGCUCCCAGGUAAAACAAUUUGGGAUCCCCUGAGUUUAGAAAGUUUCUGCGAAACGACAUUUAAAAAAAGAAAAUUGUAAAAUGAAAACCAUGAUUUCAGAUAUAACAAAGAGGGACAGAGUAAACAAGAGAGGGAAUUUGAUACCUCGUUGUAUGCAUUUUCAUAGCCCAGUCUCAGUGAUGCUGCAAUUGCCAUACGUAGUGAAUCUGCCAAAAUCUUGUUGUUUGCUUUUCCAUCAAGUUUCAAGCAGUUAGUAAACCCAAAAUAAAUUGGUUGUGGCGUCACAUAUUCCGGAUGCCAUUGACGAAGGUCAGGAGAGGGUUUGGAUAGCUUUUCGAGUACGGAUGCAUCUAGUUCUUGUACACAUGACGGAAUCUCUGGCAAAGAUUGAAGCCGGUUGCAGUUCAUUGCUUUUAGUGACUGUAGACACAAUGGAAGUUCUGGUAAUGACCGAAGCAUGUUACAAUCCUCCAAGUCAAGAGUUUCUAGACCCAAUGGAAGUGCUGGUAAUGACUGAAGCAUGUUACAACGCCAUAAGCGAAGAGUUUCUAGACCCAAUGGAAGUUCUGGUAAUGACUGAAGUAUCUUACAAUCCCUCAAUUCAAGAUAUUUUAGACACAAUGGAAGUUCUGGUAAUGACUGAAGCAUAUUGCAAUCCGUCAAGUAAAGAUAACGUAGCCACGACAGUUGCUUGAUACUUGCAG